UUUGGAACCUGGGCAGUCGCUCCUGGCUCUGGAAACGGGGUCGGGGGAGGAAAGUCCGGACACCACAGGAUACUCCGCCCCGGGCAACCGGGGGCGGUUCGGGGGUGACCCCCAACCGACGGAAAGUGUCACAGAAAACAGACCGCCCUGCGUCGCUUCGGUGAUGCGGGGUAAGGGUGAAACGGUGGGGUAAGAGCCCACCCCUGUGCCGGGUAACUGGCGGAGGGACAAACCCCGGAGGGUGCAAGGCCGAGCAGGGGAGACGGGUGAUCCGCCCGUCCCGCGCAAGCGGGACGUCCCCGGGUUGGAGCCGCAUCACCGGUUGCUUUGGCAGCCGGUGGGAUUCGCCGAAAGGCGGAUCAGAGAAAUGGCUGCCAAGCCGCCGGAGAAAUCCGGCGGGGUCCAGAAUCCGGCUUAUGGGUUCCGCGGAAC
Molecule: RNase P RNA, 432 nt
Filed under: Verrucomicrobiota bacterium
Lineage: Bacteria; Pseudomonadati; Verrucomicrobiota
Description: Verrucomicrobia bacterium (freshwater metagenome) RNase P RNA component class A
Rfam family: Bacterial RNase P class A
About the family: Ribonuclease P (RNase P) is a ubiquitous endoribonuclease, found in archaea, bacteria and eukarya as well as chloroplasts and mitochondria.
Source: RNAcentral